This 400-nucleotide ribosomal RNA is filed under the name uncultured bacterium. RNAcentral describes it as "partial 16S ribosomal RNA". It matches the Rfam family "Bacterial small subunit ribosomal RNA", at positions 338 to 735 of the family's 1533-position model. The record is from RNAcentral.
CCUACGGGUGGCAGCAGUGAGGAAUAUUGGUCAAUGGGCGCGAGCCUGAACCAGCCAAGCCGCGUGAAGGACGACUGUCCCACGCGUUGUAAACUUCUUUUAUAAAGGAAUAAAAUCAGGCACGUGUGCCUUUUCGAGGGUACUUUAUGAAUAAGGAUCGGCUAACUCCGUGCCAGCAGCCGCGGUAAUACGGAGGAUCCGAGCGUUAUCCGGAUUUAUUGGGUUUAAAGGGAGCGUAGGUGGGUUGUUAAGUCAGUUGUGAAAGUGUGCGGCUCAACCGUAAGAUUGCAAUUGAUACUGGCUGCCUUGAGAACAGUAGAGGUAUGCGGAAUUCGUGGUGUAGCGGUGAAAUGCUUAGAUAUCGCGAAGAACUCCGAUUGCGAAGGCAGCCUACUAAACG